AGGGAACUCAGUUAUAUCCUCAGGCCACACUACCAUCUCUCAAGCCUCCAGUCUGUCCCCAGCCUCUACCAGUAGCCAAGCAGGCUCACCUGGUGCAUCUGUUGCAACUACCUCAGGAGAGACUGGUAGCAGCACCACUCUUCCUGAAAGUACUGGAGCUCCAGAUUCAGCCACAACAGGACCAUCAUCUGGAACAACAUCUGGAGUAGCUGGGAGCAGCACCCCUCCUCCUGCAAGUACAGGAAGCCCAGGAUCAGGGAGCUCAGUGACAUCCUCGAGCCACACUACCACCCCUCAAGCAUCCAGUCUAUCCACAGCCUCUGUCAGCAGCAAACCAGGAACAACUGGAUCAUCAGUUGGAAUAACUAGAUCCCCGAGCAGUGAGCUGACCUCCACUGAAGGCAAUGCAGGCACGAGUGGAGGAAAAGGUGAGACAGUGACUGCAACCACUGCAGGAAGCACAUCUGGAAGAACAGGUACUGAGGGGUAGGGGAAGGUGAUGAUAGAGAGGCCAGGAGGAGACCUGAGAGCUUAGUGGUCAGAUUCGCUCAAUGACAAAAGUUUUCCUGGAGAUUUGUCACAUUGUUUCCCAUGUGAGACUAAUUGCUCCAUAGAUGAGAAACAGACCAUAAAUAUUUGCU
This 641-nucleotide long non-coding RNA is filed under the name Cricetulus griseus (Chinese hamster). RNAcentral's name for it is "lncRNA (ENSCGRG00015042918.1)". Lineage: Eukaryota; Metazoa; Chordata; Mammalia; Rodentia; Cricetidae. The record is from RNAcentral.